Molecule: ribosomal RNA, 465 nt
Filed under: uncultured Holophagae bacterium
Lineage: Bacteria; Pseudomonadati; Acidobacteriota; Holophagae
Description: bacterial SSU rRNA
Rfam family: Bacterial small subunit ribosomal RNA
Source: RNAcentral
CCUACGGGCGGCUGCAGUGGGGAAUAUUGGACAAUGGGGGAAACCCUGAUCCAGCAACGCCGCGUGGAGGAUGAAGGUCUUCGGAUUGUAAACUCCUGUUAGGGGGGACGAAGGGAUGUCGGCGAACAGUCGGCAAACUUGACGGUACCCCCAGAGGAAGCCCCGGCUAACUCUGUGCCAGCAGCCGCGGUAAUACAGAGGGGGCAAGCGUUAUUCGGAAUUAUUGGGCGUAAAGGGCGCGUAGGCGGCCUUGUAAGUCUUGGGUGAAAUCCCUCAGCUCAACUGAGGAACUGCCUCGGAUACUGCAAGGCUUGAGGCCGGGAGAGGGUAGUGGAAUUCCCAGUGUAGCGGUGAAAUGCGUAGAUAUUGGGAGGAACACCGGUGGCGAAGGCGGCUACCUGGACCGGUUCUGACGCUGAUGCGCGAAAGCGUGGGGAGCAAACAGGAUUAGAUACCCCUGUAGUC